RNAcentral lists this long non-coding RNA (5112 nucleotides) under Zea mays. RNAcentral describes it as "long non-coding RNA (ZMAY_LNC004088)". The record is from RNAcentral. Lineage: Eukaryota; Viridiplantae; Streptophyta; Magnoliopsida; Poales; Poaceae.
GCAACAAUGAACCGUUUUUAAAAAAUAAAGAGGGCUUAAAAACUGAUCUAAUGGAUGAAGAGGAAUAUCGGCCCAAGCCCAAACAAUAAGCUCACAGUCAUAGACGUGGUGGCCUUGAUAGGGCCCAAGUAAUAAUAUAACCACGAUUCACGGUCUCCCGGUUGGAUUCCCCGGCAAGCGGCCGCGCCCGGAGCCGGAACCCAACCGACGAGUUCUUCCACCCACGCGACGGCGACACUGCCACCGCGCUCGGAGGCGCUGAAGCCAGCCGAGAGGCGGGGCCCGGCCCCCCGGCGACUAGUAGGCAGCCACAGCCAACCACUCGAAGUGUUCGGUUCCACUUCCACGUUCAGGUAGAGCUCGUCGCCGCAACAUCGACCUUCUCCGUCCAGGUGGAUUUUUUUUUUCUUGAUAUGUCAUUCUUCAAGUCAGAUCUGCUAGUCUAGCACUGUAUGUAUGUUGGUAGUAACUGUUUGCUUCGGAUUAAAGCAACAAGUUUGGACUGCUGCAGCUGUAAUCCAUAGAGACAAAAAUACUGUAGAAGUAGAAGCUGUUACGGAUUAAAACCAAGCGGACAGGCUGGAAACUUUUUUUUUUUUGAACAAAGACAGCAAGGUUCAUGUAGAGGAAUUAUCUCCAUGUGUACCAGACUAGCAGAAUGGAUGUUUUUUGACAUUUUAUUAGUCGUAGUAGCAAAAUCAUGCCCAGCUGAAAAAAAACAGUUGCAAAACUAUGCAUCUGAUCUCUACUGUGAUUCUGGAACUGCCUGUUUACAGUUACAACAUUCAAAAUGAAAAGUGUUAUGCUUGAGCUAAAACUGUUAUACAAAUGAACAAACCUGACUUGUAUUAUCUUGGCAUAUACAACUUGCUUGACACAACACCGGAAUUUGAAUCUCUCUUCUGUAGUCUGUACACUUAAUAUACACAACUAAAAAUCACUCUCCAGCAAGUAAGACCAGAUGUGUGCUGAAUCCUGUGCUCAAUUUAUGCUUCAGCCUUGAGAUAUUGGUGGAGCAGAUGCCUGUGUGGUCAUCUUGCUUCUUAGCUCUUCAAAAGCUUUCAUGCUUUCUGCAUCAAAGCCCCCAGCAAACUGCAGAAGGUAGAGGAAUAAGUUACUGAUUCGAAGCCUUUAAUUUACCUGUAAAGUACCUGGGUUUUGAAUAUAUAGAUGUGAGGAUUUUACCUGAUGAACCCGGAAAGCGAACCUCACACCCUGGAGAAGCAAAAACUCUCUAUUGGGCUCUUUCUCAGUGCCUUCUAAUGCAUCAAGUUCUGAGGCAACCCUCUUCAUAUACUUGUUUGCAAGCUGGACAGAUGCCACUUUGAUCUAUUCCAACACACAAAUAAAAUAUUGAGUUCAUAUAGGUGCAUACUCCAAGUAAAAGCACACCCGCCUUCAUAAGGAAUUAAAAAUGCAUGGUUUCUUUAACACAAGUUUGUCAAAAUUGGAGUGCUUGCUAGAGAUGCAAACCUUGCCAACUACUCCAGAAUCUGACAGCCAGUCAAAUGGGAUCCCGUACUCCUUGUAGCGUGAGACGGUCAUGUCUCUUGUACGGAGUAGUGCAUAGACACUCUGCUCCACUCUGGCAUAUGUAUUGACGCUAGUUAGUACAAUGAAACCAUCACUUUGGGUAAAAUUAUGUUCAUCACAUACAUAUCUUAAACCAGGCAAAAAUAUUGCUGUUUCACUCUGAAGUACUAUGUUAGAGAGAAUACUAGGUAUGAUGAGGACGAGACACUAACUUUUCAAGCAAAGAAUACAUCUUCUUGAGAGCUUCUUCACACGCAAGUUGUGGAUCAUCGGUAAAGGUUGAAACCCUGUUCUGUAGCUUUAUCAGAUCCUGGUACUCAAAAGCUGCUUCUCUUAUUGCAUCUGUUUUGCUCUCUGGCCAAUCAAAAUGUUUUAGCACUGCUCUCUCAUCAACCUAAAAUUUUGUUGAUCCUCUUUAGUACUAGAACAUGUGUCAUAAGUACAAUAAUUGCUACUUCAUGACAGAGGUAUUGUAUGAAGGGCAUGUUCGGGCUGCUUACCAAGAAAGACAACUCCUCAUCCAACCAAUUUACAAAUGCAACAACGUCAUCAAUAUUUAUGAAGCUUGCUGCUCGGACCUCAUUUGCUAGAGAUUCAACAAAUUCUCCUUGUGUCUCCACAUCAGCUUUUACCUGAAACAUUCCAUGUUUUUAUAAAACAUUUGUCACUUUUCAUUAUUGAAAUCUGAUUACUAGUUUUAAUUAUGCAUUAAUAGUGGAACUCAUAAAUUUCACAGGAUUUUUGUUCAAGAUGGUGCCAGCAGAAAAUACUUACAGCUAAGAGGAAUGUUGAUCUGUUCUCAAUCUCUCCAAUCAUAUUACUUCUGGCAUCAGAUACAUUGGAUGAUAUUGACCCUAAAGAUGUCUCCCUUUUUGCUUCACGCUUCAUGAGACUUUGAUAGAACUCUACAAUCUCCGGCGCACGGUGUACCUUGUCACCCCCGCCAAGGUUCCUUGGUAGAGCACCUGGAGGUGGCGGUGGUGGCGGUGGGCCACCAACUUUCCCUGGAGGUGGUGGUGGAGGAGGUGGUGCACCUGGUGCCCGUGGCGUUUGUACUCCACUUGCAAUACUGGUAGCCCCUGAAGCAGCGGUUGAUCGAGGGGGAGGUGGUCUGGGAACUCUUGUUGCUCUCUUCUCAACGUUGGCAAGCUUCAUCUGGCUCACCACCAGGGUGUUGUUUUGGUUGUCACUGGAUUGCUCACUGGAUUCAGCAUUAGCUGCAGGGGAUCUCUCCUUAAUUUGAGCAAGUUUUGGAGGGAGUGCACCUUUUGGAGAGGAAAUUAGAGCUGAACUGUGGCCACCACCAAACCUUUGUGCUCUUGCUUGCCCAGCCUUCUCUUUUAUAGCCUUCUCCCGUUCAGUUGCAAGUUUGUGCCUAUCUUUGUAAGCAGGAUACUUCUCAUCAGCAAAACCUUCAACUGUCUUGGACAUCAAUUGGAAUGAGGACGCGACAUUUUCGUCAUCCAAGACAUCAUUGGGAUCCCUCUUUCCGUAUGUUGUUAUGGCUGUACCAUCUCCAGCGUUUUUUAGCAUUAGAGCUUCCAGUGGGCCCUUUGGUUUCCUCCUUGGAGAGCCACUGAUGGAGGAGGCUAAACUACUGCUGUCAUCCUUGCUCCUUCCCCACCUUUUGAAUUUUUGCAUCAGAUUAGACCUUUUGCUUAGGAAGCUGUAUCUGCUGGAAGAACUGUCAAUUGACAUGUUGUCAAAGUCUUCGCUUCCAGGUGAAGAAGGCAUUGAAGAAACAACACUCUCAAGGUCUGUGUCACCCUGACCCCGUUCAGAUCCUGCGUACUCCAACAUCAGUUGUUUGGCCCUCUCCUGUGAUUUGGGGCUCAGUGUCCUGUUAAGAUCACGUGCAGAGACCUUCCCUGAUGGAGUCUGAUAAUUGCGGAGCUCGAAUCUCAGACAGGCAUUGACCCAGCGCAGGUAUACCAACUCCUCUACUUCACUGAACCUGUUCAUCUGUAGGCCUUCCACUUGCUUUGUGAGGUCCUCAUUUGUAUGCCUCAGCUUGUUUAUCUCUUCUCUUGCAUUGGCAACUACAUCACUCUGCAUGAUAUACAGUAGGGUGUGUCAUUAGCACAUGUUCCAGCUUCUCAAAGUAUAUCAAACUAUAUGAAUACUUUGCAGAAAUCUCUAGGUGCAUUCUUGCCUCUCAGGCUAGUUUGGAAACUUAAAUCCCCUCCGGGAUUCCCGGAAAUUGAGCGGGAAAUUAGCUCAUUUUCCCAUUUUCCCAUCAAUCCCCGGGAAUCCCGGAGGGAAUUUAAGUUUCCAAACUAACCCUUAGAGAACCUUAAAUUCUGACAUAGUUGUUAAAUGUAAUGCUACCUCUGAAAUCAUGCUUUAGUAAGUACUUUAGGUAACUGCAUUUUCAUUGUACUGGUCUGAAAAUAUGUUAAUUCUAUGCUGUGUAAUAUCUUGCAUAAUGAUAAUCAUGUAUAAGACGAAAUUUCAAUUUUGCAGUCAUCUUGAUGAGAUUUGUUUUCUGUUUAUGAGAAGGGCAACUUGUAGAGACUCAUAAUACUAAGAUACCUCAGUUAUUUUCCCUUCAGCUGCAUCCAACUUCACAAUGAGAUCUCUCUUCUCAUACAACAACUCCUUGUUCUUCCUCCUUAGCUCAAGUACCUCCACUUCCAACUCCCUGAGCUUCUUCAGCUUCCGUUGAACCUCAGCUUCCUUUUUCCCCGCCUCUUCCUCCUUGGCCUUCAAUCCGAUGACCUGUUGUUUCAGCAACAUCAGCUGACCCUUUGUCUGGCCUGCUUCUAGCUGUAUCUGCCGCUGCAGCUCCUUGAUCUUGCCUCUAGCCGCUUCAAGCUCUUUAUUGGCAACCUCUCCACAUGCAACGUCAUCUUGCAGCUUCUUCCGCUCCGCCUGCAGUGAGUUUAUGGUGUCGUUGAGCAUGUUGAUCUCCGCUGUCUUGAUCUUGAGCUGCUUUUGCAGUUCGGCGAUGUCAGUCUCCAUUUCCUUCAUUCCAUAGUACUCUAGCAGCUCGCCCUCAAGCUUCGCCUCUCUCUCUUCCAUUUCCCUCACCAGGCUGCGCAGCUUCUCUAUCUCAGAGGCCUCGUUAGCCAUGUAAGCGUUGUUGUACCGUGACCGUCCAUUAACGUCGAAGCGAUCGCUUGGUAUAGGGAUGUCAAUGUCUCCUGAUAGGAGGCUUUCGAUCUCGGAAAGCAUAUCAUCGUCGUCAUCGCCUAGCGAGCGGGCUGAGUUGAUUAUGCCGCUGAUUGUUUUAACCUCUUCCUUCUCUUCUUCUUUCUCCCCCUGUAACAGCAGUUGGAGAGGUAAGUAUGACAUAGGCCACUAAUACAACACAAUUUUCUUUUAGCAAACUUUGAACUGACAUAAGAUGUACAUACAUGUUCAGAAUUGUUAGCCUUAUCCUUCCUUUUCCUUGCUUGGACAUAGUCUGAAAACAGGGACCCUUGAAUGAAGAAUUCAAAUGAAGAGAAGAAACCUAAGGAAAGGAGAGCAGAACAAGAUUGGUACCUUUGCUGUGCCUGGCCCCACUGUUAGCUCUCUGAAGAGUUAAAGCUGCGACGGAGGCUACAACGACAAAGCCUAAUCUCACAAGCAUGACUC